UUCGAAUUUUGCGUUCGAACCCUGAAGCGUUCGAAGUACGAGAUCAGGGUGCAGAAUUAACACCUGACCGGAUAAUUAUAGUUGCGGUCCGUAGUCAACUUUAAUCGUUCUUACUCAUUAAUUAAUUUACUGUCAGCAGGAAUGUCCCACCCAGUCUAGUUGAAUGUUCGUCAUUUUAACUGGGGAUUUUUUUUAUGAGAUUUAGUCACGAGGUGGAGCCCUGUUAUUUGAACUUCAAUCUGGCAACCAGAACGGUAAUAAUAUCCCAAUUUCCUCCCAUCCAAGCUGGAGUCGGAUUCAUCCGAUCUGUUAUUAGACAAGCAACGCAUGCUACAACACGUGACGAUGACACACCCUCUGAUUUCCACGUCUGUCGUGAUGCGGAACGUGACAUCACGCGAAGGAGACCUAUUAAAGGGAGAUUCUUGUAAGAACUAUUUCGUGACAUCUGUGAUUAUCUAAGACAAUAAAACUUUAUAGAAUGAAAUUGCAUAUCCAUAGGUAUUACGCAUUAAAUCUGCAUAAUUUAUAAAAUAAAAUAAUAUAUCUUAAAAUAAAUUAUUAAAUGUCUUAGGUUAAUGCUUAUGCUUUUUUGAAUAUAAUACAACUGUUGAUAGAAACACAACACGGAAAAAUUGCGAGAAUGAAUGAGAUAUAAAUUAAGAAAACACGAAUAAAGAUUGACCUACAGAUACUAAAUCAAGGGAACUCAAGAUAUAAAUUAAGUUAUAGAUGAAGAUAAUACACCAGUACUGCGCUACUUCCUUGCAAAUUAUGGGAGAAUUGAUGAAGUAACCUAUAGAGAGGGAAGAUACAGUGAUAAUGAACUAAAAUGAUAGCAGCUGGCUUAUAAAUUUAUUUUGAAAAAAGAUAACAAGCAAAUAGACAGUGUUAUAUCGUAUAAGUAUGCAGCCAAUAAUAUCAAUAUAUGAAUUGAUACGUUGUAGAAACAAACAACAGUGAAAGAAAUGUAAAUGGCUGUGGAGUCGGAGUCGGAGUCGUGGAGUUUUGGUGUUUUAGCCGGAGUCGGAG
Long non-coding RNA from Centruroides sculpturatus (bark scorpion), 1032 nucleotides. RefSeq lists it as uncharacterized. NCBI's taxonomy places the organism in Eukaryota, Metazoa, Arthropoda, Arachnida, Scorpiones, Buthidae. The transcript is spliced from 7 exons. The record is from RefSeq and is a predicted model, not a curated record.